RNAcentral lists this ribosomal RNA (476 nucleotides) under uncultured soil bacterium. RNAcentral's name for it is "bacterial SSU rRNA". It matches the Rfam family "Bacterial small subunit ribosomal RNA", at positions 26 to 518 of the family's 1533-position model. The record is from RNAcentral.
AGGACGAACGCUGGCGGCGUGCUUAACACAUGCAAGUCGAACGAGGUCCAACCCGUCGCAAGACGGGAGAAGACCUAGUGGCGAACGGGUGAGUAACACGUGAGGAACGUGCCCCGGAGACCGGGAUAACAGCGGGAAACCGCUGCUAAUACCGGAUACCUUCCUUGAUCGCAUGAUCAGUUGAAGAAAUGGAUUCCGCUCCGGGAGCGCCUCGCGGUCUAUCAGCUUGUGGUGGGUAACGCCUACCAAGGCGACGACGGAUAGCUGGUCUGAGAGGACGAUCAGCCACACUGGGACUGAGACACGGCCCAGACUCCUACGGGAGGCAGCAGUGGGGAAUCUUGCCCAAUGGGCGAAAGCCUGAGGCAGCAACGCCGCGUGUGGGAUGAAGGCCCUUGGGUUGUAAACCACUUUCAGUCAGGGACGAAAUGACGUACCUGCAGAAGAAGCCCGGCAACGUACGUGCCAGCAGCCGC